Molecule: ribosomal RNA, 476 nt
Filed under: uncultured bacterium
Lineage: Bacteria
Description: bacterial SSU rRNA
Rfam family: Bacterial small subunit ribosomal RNA
Source: RNAcentral
CAGGACGAACGCUGGCGGCGUGCCUAACACAUGCAAGUCGAGCGAGGAGAUCCUUCGGGAUGAUCCUAGCGGCGGACGGGUGAGUAACACGUGGGCAACCUGCCUCAUAGAGAGGAAUAGCCUUCCGAAAGGGAGAUUAAUACCUCAUAACAUUGCAGUUUCGCAUGGAACAGCAAUUAAAGGAGCAAUCCGCUAUGAGAUGGGCCCGCGGCGCAUUAGCUAGUUGGUGAGGUAACGGCUCACCAAGGCGACGAUGCGUAGCCGACCUGAGAGGGUGAUCGGCCACAUUGGGACUGAGACACGGCCCAGACUCCUACGGGAGGCAGCAGUGGGGAAUAUUGCACAAUGGGGGAAACCCUGAUGCCAGCAACGCCGCGUGAGUGAUGACGGCCUUCGGGUUGUAAAGCUCUGUCUUCAGGGACGAUAAUGACGGUACCUGAGGAGGAAGCCACGGCUAACUACGUGCCAGCCGCCGC